AGUGAACGCUGGCGGUAGGCCUAACACAUGCAAGUCGAACGGCAGCACAGUGAGAGCUUGCUCUUACGGGUGGCGAGUGGCGGACGGGUGAGGAAUACAUCGGAAUCUACUUUUUCGUGGGGGAUAACGUAGGGAAACUUACGCUAAUACCGCAUACGACCUACGGGUGAAAGCAGGGGAUCUUCGGACCUUGCGCGAUUGAAUGAGCCGAUGUCGGAUUAGCUAGUUGGCGGGGUAAAGGCCCACCAAGGCGACGAUCCGUAGCUGGUCUGAGAGGAUGAUCAGCCACACUGGAACUGAGACACGGUCCAGACUCCUACGGGAGGCAGCAGUGGGGAAUAUUGGACAAUGGGCGCAAGCCUGAUCCAGCCAUACCGCGUGGGUGAAGAAGGCCUUCGGGUUGUAAAGCCCUUUUGUUGGGAAAGAAAAGCAGCAGGUUAAUACCCCGCUGUUCUGACGGUACCCAAAGAAUAAGCACCGGUUAACUUCGUG
RNAcentral lists this ribosomal RNA (492 nucleotides) under uncultured bacterium. RNAcentral's name for it is "partial 16S ribosomal RNA". It matches the Rfam family "Bacterial small subunit ribosomal RNA", at positions 29 to 507 of the family's 1533-position model. The record is from RNAcentral.